AUUGAACGCUGGCGGCAUGCCUUACACAUGCAAGUCGAACGGCAGCGGGGGAGAAGCUUGCUUUUCCUGCCGGCGAGUGGCGAACGGGUGAGUAAUACAUCGGAACGUGCCCUGUAGUGGGGGAUAACUAGUCGAAAGAUUAGCUAAUACCGCAUACGACCUGAGGGUGAAAGUGGGGGACCGCAAGGCCUCAUGCUAUAGGAGCGGCCGAUGUCUGAUUAGCUAGUUGGUGGGGUAAAGGCCUACCAAGGCGACGAUCAGUAGCUGGUCUGAGAGAACGAUCAACCACACUGGGACUGAGACACGGCCCAGAGUCCUACGGGAGGCAGCAGUGGGGAAUUUUGGACAAUGGGCGAAAGCCUGAUCCAGCAAUGCCGCGUGUGUGAAGAAGGCCUUCGGGUUGUAAAGCACUUUUGUCCGGAAAGAAAUGGCUCUGGUUAAUACCUGGGGUCGAUGACGGUACCGGAAGAAUAAGGACCGGCUAACUACGUGCCAGCCGCCGCCGUAA
Molecule: ribosomal RNA, 508 nt
Filed under: uncultured bacterium
Lineage: Bacteria
Description: partial 16S ribosomal RNA
Rfam family: Bacterial small subunit ribosomal RNA
Source: RNAcentral